AUUUGGUCAAGGCCCCUUCUUUUCAGGCUCUUUCCCUGCUCACUGCUUCCCAGGUGCUAUGAGUGGAGCAGCGCUUCGCCACCAUGCUCUUCCAUUGUACUGUUUCUGCCUUGGAGCCAGCUGACCAUGGACUGAAACCUCUGAAACCAUGAGCCAAAACAAACCUCUCCUUUUUAAAGUUGCAGGUGUCAGGCUCUCAGGUUCCAUGAAUGUUCAUAAAGCAGGACCGAAAGGGAUUCCCAAGUGACUGAAAAUCCUCUUCAGAGAAAGACGAAAGAGCGUCCUAAACGUACAAGGACCAGGGCUUUACCCAUAGUCACACCAAAGGAAUGCUGAAAGAAGCUCUGGAGGUUUACAUACUUUGCAAUUCCCCAUGUUUCUACAGUAUAAAGAGAAACUGUGUUUGUACACUCUUGCACCAAGUUUAGCAGAAAACUUUUCUUUGGGGCUCUUCUAUGGGGUUGAAGUUCUCCAUGUAUGAACAAUACCUAUGCAUAUCAGGUCUGCUCAUUCUACACGCUGCAUGGACUUAGGGGAGUAUCUUUAUAUGUGGAUCUGUAAAUACACCGCUCAUAUCAUAAUUUGCUCCUGUGUCAAAGGCUUCUUGUCCUGCAGUGAACCAAUACAAGUCGCUUUCAUGUCCACUGUUCUAUGGUGAUCAUAGGGUGAUUCUGACUUGGGUUUAAUAGUUGCCCCAGAGCAACGCUGCUGUCACUUUCUCCCCAGUCAUCUUCAUCUUCAGAAGGGCAGACCAACCCCCAGGCUGUUGUGGGUCAGCAUCCCUGGUGUGUGUGCCACAAGUGGGAUGUUGCUUGCAGAUGUACGGAAGCCCAGCUGCACACACUUCCUGGAGGCCACUUUCACUGGAUCCUGGGCACUCCAGGGAAGAGCAUACUGUUUGCUUGAUGGAAAUACAAGAUACCCUGCCAGGACCAACUGGGGACCUCUUGGUCAUUCCAUCAAUGAGACUUGUCUGGCCUCUUUGGCCGUUUCCAAGAUUAGCAGUCUCUGAGAAGGGCUAGGAGGAGGUAGGGCACAGGUUCCAUAAGGCUCUCAGCCACUGAU
This 1065-nucleotide long non-coding RNA is filed under the name Heterocephalus glaber (naked mole-rat). Its description in RNAcentral is "lncRNA (ENSHGLG00100034361.1)". Lineage: Eukaryota; Metazoa; Chordata; Mammalia; Rodentia; Bathyergidae. The record is from RNAcentral.